This is a long non-coding RNA of Sus scrofa (pig), 2760 nucleotides long. RefSeq lists it as uncharacterized. NCBI's taxonomy places the organism in Eukaryota, Metazoa, Chordata, Mammalia, Artiodactyla, Suidae. The record is from RefSeq and is a predicted model, not a curated record.
UUGAGCCUGCAUCCUCAUAGAUACUAGUCAGAUUCCUUUCAACUGAGGUGCAGUGGUAACUCCAUGUUUGUACCAAUUUUAAAGCUUCUGACAGAGUCAAAAGGGUUGGGAAUCUGAAGCCUAGAAGGCCUGGGUUUCAGCCCUGACUCUGCCACAGACACCCACACAGCCUAACCUAAGUAUCUACGGGUCUAAGCGUUGAGCCCACCAUUGGUAAAUAGGGAUAGCACCUACCCUUGGACCUCACAAGGCUCUUUCCAUUAACAGCAGCGAUAACAUCCAUGGGCUUCACAGUGUAAAAUGGGAAAGAGAGGAUGAUUUGAUGGGGCACUUGGCUGUUCUGGACGCAGAACUAUUCUACAUAGCACGUUAACAGAAUUCAACAUAGGAAACACAUAAGGAGAUUUCCCUCCAAGUUAUAUUUAGACUGCUCAAUUGUAUCCGAAAGGGCAUCUUCAGAGAAUAAUAACAAAUCCAUGUCCCGGUUAUUCCUACCAACGACUUUGUCACACUGUCAGGACCGGAUCAAACCAGGACGCACACGUGGUCCCCCUGCAGCGCCAGCCAAGGGAUGCCGGAAAUGACGUCAGCGAGCGGUGUCCGCCUGCCCCACCCCCUCCGAGGCCGAAAUCUGCGGAAGUUAAACAGCUCGAGGAUGGAGUCGGCGGCGUUAAGUUCCUAAUACGCGCGUUAUUUCCCAAACUCAGAAGGAUGGAAGAGGGCGCUGUGUGGGCAGGGGGCGUCGGGUCCCUCCGGAGCACAGUUAGGUGGGGGGCUGUCCCAUCCACUUGCCCAGGUGCAGUGGCCGCUAAGAAUCCAGCCAAGGCACCAACGCUGCGCCCCACACGCGGGAUGAUUGGGAUGCACAGGGGUGCAGAGUAGAGGGUCUCCGGGCGGUUCUCCACCGACUCCCUAGUGCGUCUCACCACGCGCCAGCCUUGGUGACCGCACUACACGUAUGAACUCCUUUGACCCUCGCAACAGCCGUCGAGAAAGGCACUCCCCCCACCCCCCACCGCGAUUUCCACUUCGCAGACCUGGAAACCGCAUCAGAAAGAGGUGAGGUGACUGCUCCGCAUCCGCAGACCCAGGACGCGGAGCUCUGGCCUCUGGAUGGCGGCGACUGCGCUUCCUUCUCCCUCCAGUUUCAGGCUGGGGGACACUCACCCCAGGGACGCGGGGGCGGGUGUGUGUGUUGGGGGGGUGCUGUAGGAGGGCCCGAGCAUCCUUAAGGGGCGGCUGCUGGAAGGAGAGCCAAAGAUCCAAAGAGGAGGGAGGAAUCCAAGGAUUCGGUGCCUCUAACCUACCUGGGGAACACUCUUCCUCAGAAACAAAGAGUAGUAUUCAAUAAUCAAACUAAGUCGGCUACAGCAAAUGGAACUUUCUGAGCCAGGGAUUGAAUCCGAGCCACAGCUUUGGCAACCCUGGAUCGUCUAACCCACUGCACUGGGCCAGGGAUCAAACCCACUCCUCCACAGCAACCCGAGCCACUGCAUUUGGAUCCUUAACCCACUGUGUCAUGGCAGGAACACAAGAAGGUAUAUUUUCAUCACUGGAAAAAUAAAAAAAAUAAUGUUACAAAAACGUAGACCCUCUCCAUCCUCCACCGCCAGCAGCAGCAAAAACAAAAUCACACACAGAAAAACUAAGAACAUGGUUUGAGGGAGAAGUGAGUUGGAAGCUGAGUUCAAGAUUGUCCUAACCCAGGACAAUUUGGCUUAAAACAGAAAAGGGAAAUGGCCAUAAACAUCUCUCAGGAAGGGUGGGGCCUCUGGUGGAAAGACAACAUCAAGGCACAGGCUAGGAUUUUCACAGGAUUCAUGCUAGCAAAAUGUUAUACAAGAAAGGUAAUUUUUGCAUCCUUGCCCAGACUGCAUUGAGAAAGACUAGUCAGAAAGUUACUGGUAUGGUUUUAAAGUGGUUAAUGCCUUGUUAUUAGGUGAGAACAGGGUGAAAGGGUGAUUCUCAGAACAUCUCAGUGGUCAAAUUCAGUAGGGAAUGGAGAGACAACCUCGCUGGCAUUUAGAGGUACCAAGACUCUACAUGGAAAAGAACAGUCUUUUCCGAUGCCCAAGAAAUUGGCUGAGAGAUGAUUUUGAUGGAAAAGUCCUGAAUGUGAUGAUAUACACGUCCUAUUAGCAUCAUUUAGAAUCAGGAUUCCAACGUUUGAAUACCAACUACCCUAUUUACUCUCUGACUUUUGUAAAAAUUUUAACCUCGUUGAGGGAGUUCCCGUCGUGGCACAGCAGAAAUGAAUCCAACUAGGAACCAUGAGGUUGUGGGUCCAAUCCCUGGCCUCCCUCAGUGGGUUAAGGAUCUGGCACUGCCGUGAGCGUGAGCUGUGGUGUAGGUUGCAGCCGCAGCUCAGAACCCACAUUGCUGUGGCUGUGGCAUGGGCCGGCGGGGCUGCAGCUCUGAUUAGACCCCUAGCUUGGGAACCUCCCUAUACUGUGGGUGCGGCCCUAAAAAGGACCAAAAAAAAGAAAAAAGAAAAAAAAAUUUAACCUCUUUGAGCUUUGGUUUCCUUUAUUUUAAAAAUGUAAAUAUCAAUAGCUACUUCACAGAACUGUUUUAAGGAUUAAAUAAACUUACACAAAAACACUUAAUGCCUGGUACAUACAUCUCAAAAAUGUUUCAAAACAUACCAUAUUACCUACCAUUGGGGGGGAGCUGGGGGAAGGGUCCACAGGACCUUCCUGUACAUUUUUCACAACUUCCUGUGAAUCUGUAAUUAUUUCAAAAUAAAAUGCUUAAAAAAUG